CCUACGGGGGGCUGCAGUGGGGAAUAUUGGACAAUGGGGGGAACCCUGAUCCAGCCAUGCCGCGUGUGUGAAGAAGGCCCUCGGGUUGUAAAGCACUUUCAGUGAGGAAGAACGCCUGGUGGUUAAUACCCAUCAGGAAAGACAUCACUCACAGAAGAAGCACCGGCUAACUCCGUGCCAGCAGCCGCGGUAAUACGGAGGGUGCGAGCGUUAAUCGGAAUUACUGGGCGUAAAGCGCGCGUAGGUGGCUUGAUAAGCCGGUUGUGAAAGCCCCGGGCUCAACCUGGGAACGGCAUCCGGAACUGUCAAGCUAGAGUGCAGGAGAGGAAGGUAGAAUUCCCGGUGUAGCGGUGAAAUGCGUAGAGAUUGGGAGGAAUACCAGUGGCGAAGGCGGCCUUCUGGACUGACACUGACACUGAGGUGCGAAAGCGUGGGUAGCAAACAGGAUUAGAUACCCGGGUAGUC
RNAcentral lists this ribosomal RNA (465 nucleotides) under Vreelandella stevensii. RNAcentral describes it as "partial 16S ribosomal RNA". It matches the Rfam family "Bacterial small subunit ribosomal RNA", at positions 338 to 795 of the family's 1533-position model. Lineage: Bacteria; Pseudomonadati; Pseudomonadota; Gammaproteobacteria; Oceanospirillales; Halomonadaceae. The record is from RNAcentral.